Molecule: transfer RNA, 73 nt
Filed under: Shewanella chilikensis
Lineage: Bacteria; Pseudomonadati; Pseudomonadota; Gammaproteobacteria; Alteromonadales; Shewanellaceae
Description: tRNA-Ala
Rfam family: tRNA
About the family: Transfer RNA (tRNA) molecules are approximately 80 nucleotides in length. Their secondary structure includes four short double-helical elements and three loops (D, anti-codon, and T loops).
Source: RNAcentral
GGGGCUAUAGCUCAGCUGGGAGAGCACCUGCCUUGCACGCAGGAGGUCUGCGGUUCGAUCCCGCAUAGCUCCA